GACAAACAGGUCAGGUUAAGAUUUGUUUAGUAAAAAAGGAGGUUAGAUUAAAAAUAGAUUUGAAAAAUUGCUAUUUUUAUAGGGGUGAAAUCUGGAUAAAAAUAGUUAGGUUGUUAUUUUCUGUAAAUUGAAGCCUCGAAAGUUUAGUAUAAGACCGGGAUUAGAUACCCCGUUAUUUGUUCUGUAAAAUUUAAUUUAUUUUGGUUUACUUGGGAAUUACGUGUUAUUAUUGAAAAUAGGAAUAAAAUAAUAGGUGGCUUAAAACUCAAAAAACUUGGCGGUGCUUCAAUUCUUUCUGGGGGAACCUGUCCUGUAAUUGAUGGUCCACGAUUUAACUUACCUUUGGCUUGAAUGCUAAUUGAAUUUAGCACAGUUUGUAUACCGUCGUCGUCAGAUUACCUUUAAGAGGUAAAAGAAGUUAUCGAGAGGAGUAGAAAGAUUAAUUAUACUUCAGUGUAGAGUUGAUUAAUUUAAUAUUCUUGAUGUCAGAUCAAGGUGCAGCUUAUGCAGGGGAAGAGAUGGGUUACAAUAAUGAUUUAUUAUACGGAUUUCGUUUUGUAAAAAAUGAAUUGAAGGCGGACUCAGAAGUAAUGGAAUAAGUUAAGUUAUAAAUAGAAAGUUUUUAUGAAAUUUAGUGCUGAAGUGCGU
This 648-nucleotide ribosomal RNA is filed under the name Calliostoma jujubinum. Its description in RNAcentral is "partial 12S ribosomal RNA". Lineage: Eukaryota; Metazoa; Mollusca; Gastropoda; Trochida; Calliostomatidae. The record is from RNAcentral.